Cucurbita maxima (winter squash) is the source of this 847-nucleotide long non-coding RNA. RefSeq lists it as uncharacterized. The transcript has 2 exons. Lineage: Eukaryota; Viridiplantae; Streptophyta; Magnoliopsida; Cucurbitales; Cucurbitaceae. The record is from RefSeq and is a predicted model, not a curated record.
UUCUGACCUAAUCUCGUGGAACUAUUAGGUACUAUCAUGGUAAUGAGUCAAAGAGGCUCUGAUGACUUGUUACUUUACGUUAAAUGGUGUUUGGUAUUGCCACUCACCAGUCAGUUUCCAAAAGUUGAACAAAAAAUUUCAGGAUUUCUAAAUCGUGCAAUGAAUGUAGAUGUUUAGCUUUCCUGAAGAAAUAUGCCUAUUUGAUUGUGCAUUGCCAAUUUCUUUUCCAGAGGAUUCAUUUGUUUCUUUUUAAUGUAAUUAAUGGGCUUUGGUUCUUCUUUUUAGGGAUCUUUGGUCUUAGGAUUAAUAGAGCCAAAUAUUAUGUAUUUGACAAUGAUUGUGAUAAUGAGAACUUGAGAGUCAGGAUGUUGAGCUCAUAUAUCUACGGUUUUUAGUUUCCCUAUUAUUAUCUCGGUUGUAGGGCGAAAUUAAUUAGUUGUAUUGUUGUUUCCGUUCUAUUAUCCAUUCACUGACAUGUUACCAUUUGUUACUGUGGGUACUGGUUCUGUCAGUUGAGUUCUGUAAGUUACUGUGGGUGCUGGUUUCUUAUAAUAAUUAUUUAUCCUCUAAUUAAUCCUCUUUGGUAAAAAUUUUAUUCGUAGUUUGAUAAUCAUUUGGUUUUUGGUUUUUUGUUUCUUAAAAUUAGACUUAUAAACACUACUUCCACUUUGAGUUUUUUGCUUUGUUAUCUAUUUUUUAGUAAUGUUCUUAAAAUCUAAGUCAAGUUUUAAAAACUAAAAAAAUUUUGUUUUUGAUUUUGGAAUUUAGUGCAUAGAUUCUUUUCCUUUGGAUAGAUGAAAACCACUUCAAAGAAUUUGUAAGAAAACAGCCACAAUUUAAAAUAAAA